Molecule: long non-coding RNA, 450 nt
Filed under: Pan troglodytes (chimpanzee)
Lineage: Eukaryota; Metazoa; Chordata; Mammalia; Primates; Hominidae
Description: long non-coding RNA NONPTRT007816
Source: RNAcentral
AAAAAGUGAAGUAUGCUGUUGCAUUCACAGUUUUCAACUGCUUUUUGUUUAAAUAGGAGGAUGGUGUUAUUAAAGAGUUAAGCAUUGCCAUGCAGCUCCUAAGAAACUGUCUUUAUCAAAAUGAGGAAUGUAAAGAAGCAGCUCUUGAAGCUCACCUUGUCCCUGUCUUGCACUCUCUCUGGCCUUGGAUUUUGAUGGAUGAUUCAUUGAUGCAAAUUUCUCUGCAGCUCCUUUGUGUCUAUACUGCAAAUUUUCCAAAUGGUUGCAGUUCUCUUUGUUGGUCAAGUUGUGGACAACACCCUGUUCAAGCUACACAUAGAGGAGCCGUGAGCAACUCUCUGAUGCUGUGUAUCCUAAAGUUGGCUUCCCAGAUGCCACUGGAGAACACCACGGUUCAGCAGAUGGUUUUUAUGCUUCUUUCAAACCUGGCCUUGUCGCAUGACUGUAAAG